Molecule: RNA transcript, 6437 nt
Organism: Aedes albopictus (Asian tiger mosquito)
Lineage: Eukaryota; Metazoa; Arthropoda; Insecta; Diptera; Culicidae
Gene: aPKC
Gene name: atypical protein kinase C
Exons: 15
Source: RefSeq, a predicted model, not a curated record
CCAGUGGCACUGUCAUGAAUUCAGGCCACCAUCAAAUCCCCAACGGUCGUAAAAGUUGAUCCGGACGUCGAAUGCGCUACGGCUGACUGGCUGGCCAUGCUCGUCAUCAUCAUCUCUUUUGGCAUCUUUUGAUGACCUGCGAAAUGACCGGCCCCAUUAUUGCUUCACCAAUCCAUCGCUGGCCGUGUUAUCGGAUUCUCCUUUGCAUCCGCUCGUUCUAAACGGCCGUUUGACAGCCCCGGAGACCCACCAGCACGAAUACCUACACCCAAAAAAGCGGAGUCUGCGCCGUGGCGGGCAGUGGAACUCCUGGGGCAAGCACAGGACAGGACCCUUGUGACGUAAGCAGCCAGCCAGCUGAUGACAGACGACGGUUACACGGAUAGAGGGUCCUGUCAGAUUGGGGCGCGUGCGCCUUUUUACGCGGAUCCACCUGCCGGUCGGUUGCGGAACUCGGUUUUGACAGUCCGGACAGGGACUGGCCGUGCCCUGAGACGUGAAUGCUGUGUCAAUUGACUCGUUGCCUUCUCCCGGAGUAGAGCGUUUCGUUCGCGUUUCAGACGGGGUUCAGCCAAAGCUACCUGACCGAAAAGGGAGGAGAUUGAUUGCUGACCUGUGCGAAUUUGGUUUUUGCCGUGGCAUACGAUAGGUACGUCGUCGGUUUAGUGUACGGUUUCCUGAAGACGCGAGUUUCGUGACCCUGAGGGAACCUGCGACCACGUUUCGUAGCGUGUUUCUAGGUGUCCUGUCGCAGUGUUUCGCUUUUUUUUCUUUCGUUUUGCCUUCGAACAGAACCACCACCCAUUCCAGCUGAAAACGGAACGGAAGGCCAACCAACCAACCAGUCAGUGAGUGUGUGGGAACCAGUGUCAAGGAAAAUUCCAGCAGAGUAAAGGGAUAAUACAGUGCCAAGGCAGGGGGAAGGAGUGUGGGGUGCGACGUGUGGAAUAGGGCGGGAGUGCACUUCAAUGCUGCAGUGUGAAUAGUGGGCAAACGAGCGCAAGUAGGGUUUGAGCUUGCAGUCGUCCUCGUCAUCCAGAGUCAGUGUCGUCGUUUCCCACCCUUCACAAAAAAAAAUCAGAAAUAUUUCUCCUGCAGAGGCAAAAUAGUGAGCCUAAUAAGUAGUGUGUUCGCGGCGCGGGGUGGUGGUCUCUCCAGUUCAGCAAAUGCGGAAGCAGGCGGCUGUGAAGAAAAAGUGACGUGAUUUUUCGCCACCACUGCCACCAGCCAGCAGUAGCCACGGAAAAGUACGGGGAAAAUUCGCGCGUGUGUGUUUGUAGUAGUGGUGGUGUAGGGUUGUAGCGAAGUAGGCCUAACCUUCUCGGCAUUCGGAAUUGGGUUUGUGCGGAUAGGCGCACCACGGUCGGUGGGGCACUGGGAAAAUCGAAAAAAGAUUGUCCUGUGGAAGGAGGAAAUUCGGCACGAGCGGACCUGAACUGCGACGGAGCCUGAGGAGCCAAAUCCGAGCUGUGAGCACAGAAUCAACCUCCUAGCGCAGCGGUGUAAAAGUAUUGUGUGUAGAAGAAUAAAAGUGCGAAUCGAAGUUUCCGUCGUCGUCGUCGCCGCCCCCAUCCUUUAGUUGUAAUUUAGAAAGUUCCGUAGAAAAAAGUGCUCAACUCGUGUCUCGCGGGGGUUCGACGCCUCUAUCGUCGUCAUGGCUUGGGGUUACUGGAGUGCGACGGCCGUCGACCGGGGUCGAUCCCCGCGGCGAAACACCCAACAACAGCAGCAACAGCAGCAGUAUCCAUACCAGAACCAGAACUACCAGCAGUACAGUUUGGCCCAAUCGCAGCACCAGCAGUCGACGCAGUGCCUCAACAGUUGCCCACAGGCGGCGGCGGUGGUGGAACCUGCGCCUCAACCGGUUCAACCGGUACAACAACAACCGGCUCCACAACAGCAGGUCCAGCAGCAGCAGCAAGUUUGCGGCAGUCCGUGUCACAGUCCCUGUCACAGUCCCCAGUUCAUCGAACAGCUUCCGCCGGAUCUGCCCUGCACUCCGGUUUGCACCUACUCACGUCGACAGUCACUUGAUAGUCCACAGGCCAACCAACUGACGGACAUCAUCUGCCGGGCGGCCCAGCCUUCAAUCCAAUCGGCCGGCAAUACCCUCACGAGGGGCACCUCCCUGCGGGACACCGGGGACUACGCGGUGCCCCAUCCGCAUCCGCAUACGCACCACUACAUGACCACGUCGGAUACGCCGCGGACUCUCAGCCGGGUGGGAUCCUGUCCGGGUUCGACGGGUGGUUCCGGAUCGGCUCACGGGUCCGGUUCGGGGUCCAGUCCGGGUGCCGGGCCUGGGAGCGGCGGAGGAGGUGGCGGUGGAGGACGGGAAUCGAUCAUCGGCAGCAGUAUGGGGAUCUGUGGGAUGGGUAUAUUGGGGGGUAGUCAAGGGGCGGGGCUGGAGUACGUGGAGUGUUCACAUUACGACCGGAUGCCGCUGCCGAUUCCGGUGAAGAUACCGGUGGUGCCACCGCCGCAGAUGCACUCGGAAGAUGAGAUCGAGCCGGCCUACGCUACAGUAUUUCCAAAUGUCCCGACGGCUCCGGGAAUGUCCUGCAUCGGCGAGGACCGAAGCAUCUACCGAAGAGGUGCCAGGAGAUGGCGAAAGCUCUACAGGAUAAAUGGACACAUAUUCCAGGCGAAACGAUUCAAUCGAAAAGCCUUCUGUGCGUUCUGCCACGACCGCAUCUGGGGCCUCGGGCGGCAGGGCUUCAAGUGCAUCCAGUGCAAGCUGCUGGUGCACAAAAAGUGCCACAAGCUUGGCAACAAACCGUGCAGCAACGAACACGUGGAACCGGUCUACAAGGAGCGUGAUCACCAAGAUCUGAACGACGAGUCGAGCACCGGCGAUGUGAUUCAACCCCCGCAGGAUUAUCCGUCCGAGUAUAUCCAUUCGGAUCCGUCGUGCGACCAGGUCCCGGUCGAGGCGUCCGACAACGUAGAGGAACCGCUGGAACCGGGCACCCAGCGGCAGUAUUCCCUGAACGACUUCGAGCUGAUCAGGGUCAUCGGUCGCGGUAGCUACGCCAAGGUCCUCAUGGUCGAGCUGAAGAAGACCCGACGGAUCUACGCGAUGAAGGUCAUUAAGAAGGCCCUGGUGACGGAUGACGAGGACAUCGACUGGGUCCAGACGGAGAAGCACGUCUUCGAGACGGCCUCCAACCACCCGUUCCUGGUCGGGUUGCACUCGUGCUUCCAGACACCCUCUAGACUGUUCUUCGUGAUCGAGUUCGUCCGCGGUGGGGAUCUGAUGUUCCACAUGCAGCGGCAGCGACGUCUUCCGGAGGAGCACGCCCGGUUCUACGCGGCCGAGAUCAGCCUGGCGUUGAACUUCCUGCACGAGAAGGGCAUCAUCUAUCGGGAUCUGAAGCUGGACAACGUGCUGCUGGAUCACGAGGGCCACAUCAAGCUGACCGAUUACGGCAUGUGCAAGGAGGGCAUCCGUCCGGGCGAUACGACGUCGACGUUCUGCGGCACGCCGAAUUAUAUCGCGCCGGAGAUCUUGCGCGGGGAAGACUACGGAUUCUCCGUGGAUUGGUGGGCUCUGGGAGUCUUGCUGUAUGAAAUGUUGGCCGGACGUAGUCCGUUCGACAUUGCCGGUGCUUCCGAAAAUCCAGAUCAGAACACCGAGGACUACCUGUUCCAAGUGAUCCUGGAAAAGACGAUCCGUAUCCCGCGGUCCCUCAGUGUCAAGGCCGCCUCGGUGCUCAAAGGUUUCCUCAACAAGAAUCCGGCGGAUCGUCUCGGCUGUAACCGGAAUGCGGCCUUCAUGGACAUCGUCAACCAUCCGUUCUUCAAGAGCAUCGACUGGGAAGCGCUCGCGCAAAAAGAGGUCACCCCGCCGUACAUUCCGUCGUUCGAUGGGUGCGAUCAGGACAUUACCUGUCACUUUGAUCCGCAGUUCACGCGGGAACCGGCCGAACUGACCCCGGACGAUCCCCGCGUAAUCGACAAGAUUGACCAGAGCGAAUUCGAGGGCUUCGAGUACGUGAACCCGCUGCUAAUGUCGCUGGAAGACUGCGUUUGACAUCACGCAUCCUGCGAGCUGCAUCCGUACAACAUGCAGUUUUGAAAGACACACAGUUCGUUUUUCCACUACCGAGCGACAAGUGUUACCGUUUACUACCACUACCACAACCACUACUACUACUACAACUACUACAGUUAGAACAGCUAGAACCCUUCCUCCCAAGAAAUCGAUGCGCCACAGAGGACAAGAACGCAAACGAAGCCUGAACCCCCUGGUUAUUACCGCGACGACAUAACUAAGUCCUGAUUCCCGUGUUUUAGUUGUAAACCUGAUGCGUGUGAAUAUUUUGAGUUUUAUUUGGAUGCUCGUGUAGCCAAUCAGAACAUAAUUUUCGAAUGACUUCAUCGUUUUUUUCUUUUCUGUUUUGGUACUGAGAGAAAUUUACGGUGACGAUUCGAGCGAUUACGAUUCCGUUGUGGAUGAACUAAGUAUUCUUCAAUUACCUCCGCCGCCUCAGAAGAGUCUCCUGCAGCACAUGUUUUGCCUUCCAUUGAACUAACACCAUGGCCCUUCGUUUCCUUCGUUAUUUCUUUAAUUUUCUUCUUCUCCUGAAUCGUCGUCUAACUGAACUUGCACGCUCCGACGAUCGUGACACCAAUAUAUUCAUUAUUGCUAGGAAAUGUAAAUGGAUUGGAUACUCUUACACUGAAACAAAUCACAACGGUUAGUCCAACCGAAAAGAAAAGAAAAACGCUACAAAUUUUAGGUUCGUCUAGUGGCAGAUCGGCGAACAUCGAGCGAAGCCUAGGAACUUUUACAUCUAAGCCCAAAAACUAAAAUGAAAUUUAUUCACAAAUUCCAGUAGCUAUCAUUGGUAAGAUAACUAAAGCAACCGAUUUACGAGAUCAACUGCGAGACAAAAUGAAACUAGCGCAACUAUUACAAGACGAUAUUUGUCUGUACACUGAAAUUUCCGUAUCAAAAAAGUGGAUCGACGAAGGUUAAACAAUUGUUAAUAUGAUACUUAACACGUAUAGAAAACCAAGCAGAUGACAAGCCUCAAAAAUUUGCGGGGAAAAUGGAUUACAAUUACUAUUCAACAACUAUUCGUUUAUGGGAAACAGUUCCAUAGGAAAAAAACUGAAACAAAAGUAGAUUACACUGCACAGCGUUAACAAACAGAAAAGACAAAACUAAUUGCAUAUUGUAUAGGUGAAAAAAAAAACAAAAUGAAGUUUAGCUAACAAAAAGAAAAUAUUCAAGCGCAAAAAGAUUAAGAAAAUUGAAAGGAUUUUAAACUUUUAAAAAAUCAAACACUGAAACAAAAGACAGAGAGUAACAAAAUUGAUUUAUCGAAUAGUAUUAAUUAAAUUGAAAUUGCGAAAGGGGAACCGAAAUCCUAACGUAGUGAACCGUGUUAGAUAAAUCAUUCAAAUUAUCCAAAACAAAAAAGGAAAAGGGAAAAAGACCGUCAGAAAGACAUUUUUAUAAGACAUUUGAUUCCAUAACCUUAACAAAAACCAAAACCGAAAACUGGCGAGACCCACUAUCUAGCUAUCUAUCCAAUCGCAAAAAAAAACAAAACUAUUCCUAAAGUAACGUAUGAAAAACGUGUAAAACUUCGCCCCAUUCCAUUCAUGAUGAUCAAUGAUGAUGAUCAACUCUUUUUCAAACAUAACCUUGAAGAAAACACCUGUUACCUGUUAGUAGUACUUUGUUUAGUCAUCUGUGAAUAUAUUUUUCCCUCAAAUCUAAAAAAAAAGUAAUGAAGAUGGAGCAUUCCACAGACAGAGAUAUAAGGAGAGAGACAGAGAGCGUGGGGUAAAGCGACAAGUCCAAUCUGCAACGCGCCGGAAUCCCGUGUGGUGGUAUCGAAUCGAAUUAUUUAGGUUAGGAUCAAUUCUCGUUUUCAUGAGCGCAUUUCAGUCAGUCAGUGUACUUACAGGCAGCCAACCGAUCUAACAAAGCAGCAACUGCGGCGCAUUCAUAUUAGUUAGUGUUAGUGGAUUAGAAAUUCAUGGAUUACGACGUGUAGCGUUUUCGAGAACCCUGGUGAAGUUCGACAAAGGGGGUUCCGAUCAAAACGUUGAUGCACGUUGCAAUCCAAGCUGCUACUUAAUAUUGUAUUUAUUUAUGUCUUAGUUUUCGUUUCCAUUUCUGUUAUAAUCGUUUUGACUCAGUUGUGUACUUACUUUUCAACUUACUUAGGAAACUGUAUUAGUCGAGUAUUGUCGAGCGUUUUUUUUUUGUUUGAUUAAGUUUCAUAUGAACCGAUUCCAUUCGCGAUCGCCCCCUAUAAGUAUUAUCAGUAUUUUUCCGCGCGCUCUAGCACACUCUUUCUUCCAUCAUGUUACAUUUAAAAAUGACAAGCAGAAGAGGAAAAAACAAACAAUUAUUAUGAGACAUUAUUACAGUGAAUGCAAAUAAAUGCUGAAAUUGAAUAUUUCGAAUAAAAAUUGAA